This 503-nucleotide ribosomal RNA is filed under the name uncultured bacterium. RNAcentral's name for it is "partial 16S ribosomal RNA". It matches the Rfam family "Bacterial small subunit ribosomal RNA", at positions 30 to 523 of the family's 1533-position model. The record is from RNAcentral.
AUUGAACGCUGGCGGCAGGCUUAACACAUGCAAGUCGAGCGGGGUGAUGGUGCUUGCACUAUCACUUAGCGGCGGACGGGUGAGUAAUGCUUAGGAAUCUGCCUAUUAGUGGGGGACAACAUCUCGAAAGGGAUGCUAAUACCGCAUACGUCCUACGGGAGAAAGCAGGGGAUCACUUGUGACCUUGCGCUAAUAGAUGAGCCUAAGUCGGAUUAGCUAGUUGGUGGGGUAAAGGCCUACCAAGGCGACGAUCUGUAGCGGGUCUGAGAGGAUGAUCAGCCACCCUGGGACUGAGACACGGCCCAGACUCCUACGGGAGGAAGCAGGGGGGGAUAUUGGACAAUGGGGGGAACCCUGAGCCAGCCAUGCCGCGUGUGUGAAGAAGGCCUUAUGGUUGUAAAGCACUUUAAGCGAGGAGGAGGCUCUUUUGGUUAAUACCCAAGAUGAGUGGACGUUACUCGCAGAAUAAGCACCGGCUAACUCUGUGCCAGCAGCCGCCGUAA